This 496-nucleotide long non-coding RNA is filed under the name Helianthus annuus (common sunflower). RNAcentral's name for it is "hypothetical non coding rna". The record is from RNAcentral. Lineage: Eukaryota; Viridiplantae; Streptophyta; Magnoliopsida; Asterales; Asteraceae.
GGCAUGUCCAAAACAUCAUUGCCGUAUUCAUCAAAGAUCGACAAUAUAGCUACCAUAUAGCAAAGACCCAGAUAGACAGAUGACUCCUGUUACAGCAACAACACCGGCAUAAAAACCAAGAAUAAUGCCAGCCAACAUGGAUGCCAACAUAGCUCCAGCAACAACAAAAGGCCACAAUAAGAUUGCAAGACCUGCAAAUGGGACACAAAUACUUUCCAAAAACGGGCCUUCUCGGCCUAUACAAUCUUGAAACAAACGCUGCCACCCUCGUAGCAACAUAUACGGGAUUUUAAGGGCUGCAAUAACUGUCAUCAUUGGAAAGUCAAACGCAAACCCUAUCAACCCAACAAAGAGCGCUAUAAGAACAUAAAGCACCCUAAUUUCAAUUUUACCCUCUGGGGGAGGUUCUUGUUUCCGGAGAUCAUUCGUCGCCGAGAAGUAUGAAUAUAAACAUACAUCCUUCAAGUCCCUAACAAAGAUUAAACUCCCCUUGAUU